UGCCAUUAGCUGGCUGGUGGGGUAACGGCCCACCAGGGCGACGAUGGGUAGGGGGUCUGAGAGGACGAUCCCCCACACUGGUACUGAGACACGGACCAGACUCCUACGGGAGGCAGCAGUGAGGAAUAUUGGUCAAUGGGCGGAAGCCUGAACCAGCCAUGCCGCGUGCAGGAUGACGGCCCUACGGGUUGUAAACUGCUUUUCCCCGGGGCGAAUAACCCCCUCGCGAGGGGGGAUGCCGGUACCGGGGGAAUAAGGAUCGGCUAACUCCGUGCCAGCAGCCGCGGUAAUACGGAGGAUCCGAGCGUUAUCCGGAUUUACUGGGUUUAAAGGGUGCGUAGGCGGGUGGCUCAGUCGGCGGUGAAAUGCAGCGGCUCAACCGUUGCCCUGCCGUCGAAACUGGCCGCCUUGAAUUCGGUCGAGGCCGGCGGAAUGCGCGGUGUAGCGGUGAAAUGCUUAGAUAUCGCGCGGAACGCCGAUUGCGGAGGCAGCUGGCUGGACCGAGAUUGACGCUGAUGCACGACAGCGUGGGGAUCGAACAGGAUUAGAUACCCUGGUAGUCCACGCCGUAAACGACGAUGGCUGGGUGUUGGCGAUACACUGUCAGCGCCUGAGCGAAAGCAUAAGCC
This 629-nucleotide ribosomal RNA is filed under the name uncultured bacterium. RNAcentral's name for it is "bacterial SSU rRNA". It matches the Rfam family "Bacterial small subunit ribosomal RNA", at positions 236 to 866 of the family's 1533-position model. The record is from RNAcentral.